UUGCACUGUCUUUGAACCUUUUUGGUCUCAUCUGUGACCUCUUAGGCCAAGCUACAGUGCUAAAGCAAAGGCUUGUUCAUAACUGGAGCCCCCUGGCAACACCCCCAGGUUGCUCUUUUAAAAACAAGUCACAGCU
Small nucleolar RNA from Scophthalmus maximus (turbot), 136 nucleotides. The record is from Ensembl. Lineage: Eukaryota; Metazoa; Chordata; Actinopteri; Pleuronectiformes; Scophthalmidae.